ACCAUUUCUUUCUUUUUUUUUGUUUUAGCUAAAUUACAAAAAAUUCACUGUCAAUAUCUGCUUUUUUACUUCUCCCAUGCCCAUUUAAAAACCUAUAAUUUGCCCCCUUAUAAAAUAAAAAAUGUUUAUUUUACCCCCUGCCGUUAGUGCCUCGUUAGGGUUCCGUUUAUAAAAUUUGUUAUAUAUUUUUUAUACCAAAAAUACUCUCAGCCUCUUCUCCUGCCGCCUCGCCCUCCUUCGAUGCCUCGCCUUUUCCCUCGUUGUCCUUGCCCAUCUCUUGAUCCACGCCCACCUCGAUUUUCUCUCUAUUGUUGUCGAAAUGGAGCGGUGACAAGAGUGCAAGAGGAGAAGGAGAGCAGGUGGAGAAGAAAAUAGAAAGAACCGUGGCCGAUAGAGGCGCGUACCGCGGCCGAUCGAGGCGGUGGAUGAGCAAAAUGAGGAAGGGGAUGAAAAUGGUGAUGGACAAAUUGGUCAUUGUGUCAUCACAGUUCACACCGUAACCCCCUCUGAACAUUUUUUAUAUUACAAGGGGGUAAACUAUAGGUUUUUAAAUGACAGCAAGGAAAGUAAAAAAGCAGAUAUUGACAGGAGGGUUUUCUGUAAUUUAGCCCCUUUUUUUAUAAAAAAAAAUCAUUUAUUUG
Molecule: long non-coding RNA, 641 nt
Filed under: Ananas comosus (pineapple)
Lineage: Eukaryota; Viridiplantae; Streptophyta; Magnoliopsida; Poales; Bromeliaceae
Description: long non-coding RNA (ACOM_LNC012583)
Source: RNAcentral